Molecule: long non-coding RNA, 228 nt
Filed under: Setaria viridis
Lineage: Eukaryota; Viridiplantae; Streptophyta; Magnoliopsida; Poales; Poaceae
Description: long non-coding RNA (SVIR_LNC001330)
Source: RNAcentral
GCUAUUUCAACAUAUACUAGUGCAUGUCUACCGUGCACGGCAAGUUUUAAUGAAGUUACCAAAACAACAAUUCCAUGCUCGUCUGAAUUACAAUACAGAGUAAACAUUUUAAUAAAAUUACAAAAUCCCUACAAGAAUAUUCAUAAUAUUCUAACAGAAGAGGAAAAAUAACAUCAAUCUCAUCCACACACACUUCCACAAAUGACCACAAAAAACCAAAUCUAACCA